Molecule: long non-coding RNA, 1395 nt
Organism: Panicum virgatum (switchgrass)
Lineage: Eukaryota; Viridiplantae; Streptophyta; Magnoliopsida; Poales; Poaceae
Exons: 3
Source: RefSeq, a predicted model, not a curated record
CAGCCGUGCAUCCAAGCCUCAGCACAAUUUUGUUCUUCAGAAUCACAACCAGUAUCACUGAGUUCUUGUAGCAAAUUAGCAUCCAAAAUCUCACUGAUCCAUUCCGGAAAUGCCGCAUACACAAAAUUGUGGAGGUUUAAGCCAUCCUUGAAUAUUUCAUCAGUUGGUCUCUUUCCGGUGAUCAUUUGUAGAAGAAGUACUCCAUAGCUAUAGACAUCACCUUCAGUUGUAUUCUUGACGCCCAGGGCAUACUCUAGAUUGAUGAUGACUAAAUUAGAGGUAUAUAUAAAAUAACAAGAAAUCAAUAGAGAUUUUUUUUCCAACCAGCCCCAAAUCCCUCCCGCCGCCGCACCAACCUCCUGCGCCGUCGCUCUCCUCCUGGCGCCGCUCGCCUCCUCCGACGGGAGUCUCCGAUUUGAUCGCCAGUCGUGUGCCACUCUCCUGCGGUGAUUCUUGCCCCCCUUCUAUGCAUCGGCGGCGACGGCAACACAAGCGUUGGAUGGAUCCUAGGGAUCCAAUCUUCUCCACGGCAGUUUGCUAUUUCUCCCGUGGAGAUGCUCUAGCGAGUUAGGUGCCCCGUCGAGCUUCUCGUUCUGCGCAAGUUGCCCCUUGAUCUACCUCACACCGAAUCCCCAAGAUCAAAGAUUCUUCGAGAGGAUCUUAAUUACCUCUAGUUUAAUUGGAGCACGGCGGAUGUGUGGAUGGAUAUUGGUUGUUUUUUUUUCAAUCGACUGCUGUUUUACUCCCUAUUGUGGUGAGAUGGUGCCACUGCUGCCUUGCUGGGAUGACUGGAUCUAACCCUGGUGCCAACGACCAUUCGACAAUAUGCUGAAUGGCAGGACCUCCUUGCGAAACUGUCAGGUUUGCGAUCUUGCGGUGGUUUGGCAGCCUGCGGAUUCGGCAGCACUGGAUUGGGACUGGGACGGAGCCACAUGCGGAGGACUGGCCUACAGGCUACAACGACAUUGCGGGGUGGGUGCUUCGCCGCCCAGCAAUGCCCAAGACAUGCUGCUGGGCUAAUGUUAAGAGAAGAAUAAUUUAAUUGGCUGUAUAUGAAUGCACUAUCAGGGAGGAAGCUGCGGAACAAAUAAUUUAUUUUGUAGAAUCAAGUGCCUAAAAAGGACAGUAUGUCUAAAACUGAAAUCUGAUUCACUCUGGGACUGGCGCGUGUCUUUAUUUUCAGGUAUUUGUUGCACCUUGUGCAUUCUCAUGUAUGGACCUUGGAGUAGAUCUUCAGAGAGGUCGAUGAUGGUUGUAGUAAUUGGUAUUUUACCAUUAUUCCAUUGAUAAAAUUUCUGAGUAUGUAUAGAUUGUCAAAUAUACACUUCGGUUUACUUCGUGGGGUUACAUGUAAUUUAUUUGUGUCCAAAGAAUGUAAUUUAUUUUUUAUGUGAA